This 73-nucleotide transfer RNA is filed under the name Buchnera aphidicola (Cinara laricifoliae). RNAcentral's name for it is "transfer RNA Phenylalanine". It matches the Rfam family "tRNA". From Rfam's summary of the family: Transfer RNA (tRNA) molecules are approximately 80 nucleotides in length. Their secondary structure includes four short double-helical elements and three loops (D, anti-codon, and T loops). Lineage: Bacteria; Pseudomonadati; Pseudomonadota; Gammaproteobacteria; Enterobacterales; Erwiniaceae. The record is from RNAcentral.
GCCCGGAUAGCUCAGUCGGUAGAGCAGGGGACUGAAAAUCCCCGUGUCGGCGGUUCAAUUCCGUCUCCGGGCA